GUCUGUCUAUGACUUCAAAUGAUGCGUCACGUAUGAAACAUUAAGUUUGAUUAACGCACAUUUUUAUUGGACAUCUGUUGGACGUUUCAUUAAAUAUAACUUCUUUCUUCAUUUUUAAACAGACUGAAUUUAUAUUUUUAUUUUUUUCUUUAAUUUAUUUUGACUUCAUGUUUGUCAGACUGGUUUUGUGUUUUUGUGCCGAGUCUUAUAAGACUGUCUCAGAGUCCUGACAGUCUUUGUUUGAAGGAUGACUUUUAUGGAUGUUGUUCGUCUGUUUAUGAUUUCAGACGUGACCUCGUGGUUUGAUUCUCCGCCUGCGGCUGAAUGAAGAUGAAAUGAGUUCAUGUCACUCAGAUUUUGGACCCAGCCGGGAAUGCUGAUGAAACCAGAACCAGAACCAGGAAACAGACCUGGACUCUACAGCACGGCUAACUGAGCUAAACGGCUAACCUGACGUUAGCUGUAAAUCAGAAACAGACAAACCUCGGUACCGGUUCUGUCUGACCCGAUCCUCCGACACGCUCUCAAUGAUACAGAUGAUUUACAUAUCAGCUGAUUGACGGCCUGAUCAGAGGUAGAAAUCAUCUUCACGUGGAGUGUCCCUCGUUACGUGUCGUCACGGGACGUUUGGGCGGUCGAGGAUUCUCCGGUUGCCACUCAAGUCUAUCAAUGUCAGCGCCGGGCUCAGCCCCGGCCAUAUAUUUGGAUUAAACAGUCAGAGUCAUUACAGCCAGUGUUAUUGACCUUUUAAGAUACAACUUUAAUAGCUUUUCUCUCCCGUCUCGUCUGUCUCGCGGUGAAACAUGAGCGGCCGCCGUGCUGAUGAAGUCCCCCUCAGGGUUUGCCUGGAAUUGGAAUCAAAUACUUUAGAUCCCCUCUUCCUCGCCCGUAAUGCCGCCGGCUUUGUGCCACAGAAAGGAGAAAUUAAAGGAAAAGCACACAGUGAGAAUGAGGAGCAGCGAUCGGGAUUACCACACAGGACACUCAUUUUCCAGUGACCGGCCAAGCUCGACAAAGCCGCGUGUUGGACUGAGACCACGCCGGCUGUGAUCCGGCAGGAAGGGGGGGCUAACGGCACCGCCGCGGGACGGCACGGAAUAAAGACGCGCCGUGAAAUAAACGAGCACGUGGAUAAAUAAAGAGUUUAAAUGAAGCAGCAAAG
Molecule: long non-coding RNA, 1162 nt
Organism: Larimichthys crocea (large yellow croaker)
Lineage: Eukaryota; Metazoa; Chordata; Actinopteri; Sciaenidae
Exons: 3
Source: RefSeq, a predicted model, not a curated record